This 253-nucleotide ribosomal RNA is filed under the name uncultured bacterium. RNAcentral describes it as "partial 16S ribosomal RNA". It matches the Rfam family "Bacterial small subunit ribosomal RNA", at positions 524 to 776 of the family's 1533-position model. The record is from RNAcentral.
GACGAGGGGUCCAAGCGUUGUUCGGAAUCAUUGGGCGUAAAGCGGGUGUAGGCGGCUCUAUAAGUCAGAAGUGAAAGCCCCGGGCUUAACCCGGGAAGUGCUUUUGAUACUGCAGAGCUUGAAUGUGGGAGAGGGUAGUGGAAUUCCAGGUGUAGUGGUGAAAUACGUAGAUAUCUGGAGGAACACCGGUGGCGAAGGCGGCUACCUGGCCCAACAUUGACGCUGAGACCCGAAAGCAUGGGGAGCAAACAGG